Hordeum vulgare subsp. vulgare (domesticated barley) is the source of this 1801-nucleotide long non-coding RNA. RefSeq lists it as uncharacterized. The transcript has 7 exons. The record is from RefSeq and is a predicted model, not a curated record. Lineage: Eukaryota; Viridiplantae; Streptophyta; Magnoliopsida; Poales; Poaceae.
CUCGAUCCGUCCAGGCAAGAAACCUAGCCGCCGGCGCUCCUUCCGCCGCCGCCUCCACCCACCCCUGCUUCCGCCGCCGCCUCCACCCACCCUGCUUCCGACGCCGCCUCCACCCAUCCCCUCCUCACUUUCUAUCGAUCCAUCGAAGGAGAGGCUCCCGCGGAUCCAAGAGGCUGACCCUCAACGGCGUCAACCUCGACGGCACGCGCUCCCACUCGGGGGAUGCCCGGCUAGAUGCUUGAUGCGUCAACAUCAACGUCAACGUCGACGGCAACGGGAGAGGAGGAGUCUGCUCGCUCGGGGGACGACGACGACGACCCAUCUCCUCCUCACCGACGAAAUCGCCUACCACUCGACUCCUGAGGAAAAAGGGAGAUCAUCGUGGAAUCAAGGGUUGUCUUUGCGGUCAGAGGACAAAUGCUGGUCGAAUAAUCAAAGAAAGCUAUGGCACUGUAAAGCAACAACAUACAUUCACUGUUGAGAUUUUCUGGAGUAAAGGCUACAAUCGAUAGCCUCCCCUUCAUCCUCUCCUCAUAAAGGGCGGAAACCUUUACAAGGAUAAGACCGUGAGACAGCCAUGGCCUCAUGAACAGGAAAGAAGCAGAGUCCUACAAGAAAAACAUGCAAGAGGGUUCCAGGCACGUAAGUCAAGGGAGAUCAGGAUACAUGAGAAAGAGAUUGACAAGAUGAGGAGAUUUAAUAGGAUGGUCUCAAGCACUCAGAAGAAGUGGAGGGCGGAAGAAGCAUCGUUUCUCAUCGUAUGAAUUAAGAAGCCACAUAGUUAUUCAUAGAAAAAAGGACACAUCUAGUUACAUACAAAGGAAGUCUACGGUACAUAGUAAUAGUAGCUAAUAGACCAGAAUGUACUAAGCUUUUUGUUUCUAUAUUUAUACAUGCUUGAGCUGAAGCUUGACCGAUGCAUGCCAAAUUUUACUGGUUAAAGUUUGCCAUGUCUAUCCCUGAUUUCUUAUACAGGUACUGAGACAGGGCUGCAGUAAAUAAAUAUUAGCUUUAUUUUGUGGGGUUUUGUUUGUUUGGAACAAAAUAUUCUAGAAGCCUAGAAUGCAUGAUCAUCUCAUUCAGGAAUGUCUACUUUCUACCCAAUGUCGGUUGCAUGCAAGACUUAAACACACCCUGGAAUUGUGAUAUCUGAUAAUAUUUUCUUUUGGAUCCAGUUCGAUGUUCAUUGGAUCGUAUCCCUAUGGUUUGGUUUGGUUUGUUAAGAUUGCAACCUAGUUUAGUUUGACAAGCUUAUGCUCAUGAUCCAAGGAGACUACAUACAUGGUACCAGUGAAAUAUGGUGCACACUGGGUCUUUCCAUUGUUGUAGUCUGGCGAACAAACUAGUACUUUCAAGUAAUCAUAAUUUUGCUAACAUUGAUUAUGUUACACAUUAUAGGUACAUUUAAGCUAACCCUGUAAUUCACAGAAGAUUACCCCAACAAGCCACCAACUGUUCGGUUUGUCUCAAGGAUGUUCCACCCAAACAUUUAUGCAGAUGGAAGCAUCUGCUUGGAUAUCCUACAGAACCAGUGGAGCCCUAUAUAUGAUGUUGCAGCAAUAUUGACCUCUAUCCAGGAUGAUCUAAAGCACCCAGAAGAAGUAGAUGAUAGGACAGGAGGAGGGAAUAAAAUGCUUCGUUUAUCAUUGAUGUUAUGUGUGAUCAACAAAAACUUGUGCUUCUCAUCCAAUCUUUCUCGAACUAUGUUGAUGUGUGAUACGCACUUGUUGGGCCCUUUUGCUGUACACGUGCACUUGUAGAACUAUUUUGUUGCGCACUUGUUGGGCCUUGAACAUUUAUG